AUAUAUAUAUAAUAUUUUUUUAGAUGUGGGUGUGUCGUUUUUAUUUUUUAUUGUUACUUCAUUGUGUCUUUAUAAAGUUAAGUUGCCUCCAUUUGAGGAGUCAACCAAACAUAUCGAAAGGUUGUUUAAACUUGUGUGUGACGCCAUAAAAUAUAGAGGGGACAUUUUAAUUUAUUUUAGUUUAUUUUUCCUUUGCAUUUUCAGCUCUCCAGUUCAUGUGUCACACAUUGUGUUCCACUCUCCAGGUCACCAUUUGAGGUCUUUUAAAUCACUGUGACUAAAUAUUAAUCUGUAAAUAAUUUAGGUUUCGUUUUUAAUAAUGCUGUGUUCCCGGUCUUGUUAUCCAAGCCCUUUUCCUGCCAUAUGUCUCAGAGUAUUGAUCAGUCACUUACUACAUAAUAAAAAGCCUGUUAUAAAAUUACCUUAAAGGGGACAUAUGAUGCAAAAUUCACUUUUACAUGGUGUUUGCAUAUAUGUGUCUUAGCAGUGUGUAGACACAAACACCCUACAAUAAUAAUCCAUUCACUCCUUUUUUUAAGCCCCAAAAAGUAAUCAAGUAUUUUGAUUUUCUGAGUAAUAUGAUGUCAUGUUGCACAAGCCCC
Molecule: long non-coding RNA, 602 nt
Organism: Cyprinus carpio carpio
Lineage: Eukaryota; Metazoa; Chordata; Actinopteri; Cypriniformes; Cyprinidae
Source: Ensembl